CUGUUGAAAAGAGAUUAGAGACAAGGGGAAACAAGAAAAAAACUCUUAUCUCUGUCAGAGGUCUGAGGAAGGCCCAACCCCUACAUGCUAGGGAAAAUCCCACCCAUGGGGGAGAGAAGGCCACACUUUCUCUCUUCCCUCCUGCACUGCCCCCCAAAAUAACGGUGAUCCCAAAGCAAACAAGGGCAGUGGAGCAGCCCAAGCCCUUCCUUGCCUGCAAAGCAAAGCAGCCCCUGCACAGGUUCUGGAGUCCCACCUCUGCUCCCGCCAUGGGGGUUUCUCUGUGCCGGGCUGGCUGCCCCAGCCCCAGCCCCAGCCUCAGCCCAGGCCAUGCUGGGUGCUGGGGGCUGUUGGCAGCUGGGCAGCCGACUGAAGUUGCAUCUGCCCCAGCAAAGGGAGAAACUUUUGUUCCCAGCCAGUCUGAGCAAUGCCCAAAUCUGGGAGCAUUUCCCCGGCUGUGGACUCAUCUGCGAAUUCGCUGUGGAGCCUGGCUUUGAAGACGGUGCCACAAGUCCAUCAUCUUCAGCUGCCAGUGGCCAGGUUGAGGAAGAGGUUGUCAUCCUUGAUGUUGUCGUCGCUGUCUCCAGCAGCAGCAGCAGCCCCACCUGGUACAGCUUCUCCAAGGACUCCUUCUCCUUCCCUGGGGGUCAGACCAGGCUGUCAGGGUUCUGCCCAGGGCCCCAGCUGUCAGGGAAGCAGGACAAGCAAAACCAGCUCGGAUGGCAGCCACCAGUGCUGGGCAGAGCAGCUCAGCUCCAGCACAAGGGCUGCGUGUUCCCACCCAACAAUCCCAGUGCAUUGAUACAGGCAGGGAAAAAAGUCUGGGUUCCUUGCUUCUGAUUGCCAGGGCAUGUGUGGACCUGUAACUUACCAGGGCCCUGGAGCAAAGUGUGCAUGUGGCUCUCUCCCUUUUUCUAUGGCAGGUGAAUAUCCUGUAUCCAAGGAUCAUAGAACAGGUCUUCUAAUGAAGGUCUGUCCAAGAAGUGCAUGGAUAAACACCACCUGAUAAGAUCUUGGCACUCUGGGCAGAGAAACCAGAAACCACGGUCAGCUAGAGAAGGCUCCUGUCUGCUUUGCCCCACUCUUCCCAUGCCCAGGCCAUGCUGCUUUUGUGCUCAGAGCUGUGCCUAAACUUUCCCAUCAAUUCCCUGUUGUGGAGGAGAGCAGGAGAGCAGGACAUGUGCCACCUCCUCAGCGGCUGCCAGAGCGAGAUGCUCACGAGCUGCUGCUGUCUCCCAGCACUGGUAUUCCCCCGUGGCCAGAGAUGAGGAUCCACCUGGAGAGAGCCGCUGUGGCAGCGAGAGCUGAUGGUCCCAGCUGAUCUUCCGGCCCCUCCUGAAAGGGUGCUGCCCGCAGACCAUCUGGUGCAGCAGGAUGCCCAGGGACCAGAUCGUUGCUGCCUCGCCAUGGUACCAGCCCAAGUGGGUCCAUUCUGGGGGGCUGUAUGACAGUGUUCCUGUGGAAUACAGAUGGAGUUCAUCAGGGGGAUGCUGCUGCUUCCAGAGCCUGGCCCCAGCAUCCCUGGGCGUGCAGGGGCUGCCCCAGUGGCACACGGGGCGACUGCUGCACUCUCGCCAGCACCUGGGACUUGUGUACAAACUCAGGGCUGGACAAGAAGCCACUGGUGUUGGAAGAGGGCAGCAGAAGCCCCGGCAAGGCCUGACCGUGACAUGCAAGGCAAAAAACCCACUCAGGGCUGGGGGAAAAAUCAUCUCCUUAUCCUCCCUGCCUGCAGUGCCCUAAAAAUAUUAUGAAGCCAAGGCAAACAAG
Taeniopygia guttata (zebra finch) is the source of this 1770-nucleotide long non-coding RNA. The record is from Ensembl. NCBI's taxonomy places the organism in Eukaryota, Metazoa, Chordata, Aves, Passeriformes, Estrildidae.